Molecule: ribosomal RNA, 480 nt
Filed under: uncultured bacterium
Lineage: Bacteria
Description: bacterial SSU rRNA
Rfam family: Bacterial small subunit ribosomal RNA
Source: RNAcentral
AACUAACGCUGGCGGCGUGCCUAACACAUGCAAGUCGUACGAGAAAGCCGGCUUCGGCUGGUGAGUAAAGUGGCGCACGGGUGAGUAACGCGUGGAUAAUCUGCCCUUAAGUGUGGAAUAACGUACCGAAAGGUGCGCUAAUACCGCAUAAUGCCUGGCAACACAAGUUGUCCGGCCAAAGAAGGCCUCUGUUUACAAGCUUUCGCUUCAGGAUGAGUCCGCGUACCAUUAGCUAGUUGGCGGGGUAAAGGCCCACCAAGGCGACGAUCAGUAGCCGGCCUGAGAGGGUGACCGGCCACACUGGAACUGAGACACGGUCCAGACUCCUACGGGAGGCAGCAGUGGGGAAUAUUGCACAAUGGGGGAAACCCUGAUGCAGCGACGCCGCGUGAGUGAAGAAGGUCUUCGGAUCGUAAAACUCUGUCCUUGGUGACGAAGGAAGUGACGGUAACCAAGGAGGAAGCCCCGGCUAACUACGUG